CGAAGGGAGCGAGCGUUGUUCGGAAUCACUGGGCUUAAAGCGUGCGUAGGCGGAUUUAUAAGUCAGAAGUGAAAUCCCCGGGCUUAACCCGGGAACUGCUUUUGAGACUGUGAGUCUAGAAUUCGGUAGAGGUUAGUGGAAUGUCCAGUGUAGAGGUGAAAUUCGCAGAUAUUGGACGGAACACCAGUGGCGAAGGCGACUAACUGGGCCGAUAUUGACGCUGAGGUACGAAAGCGUGGGUAGCAAACAGGAUUAGAUACCCUGGUAGUCCACGCUGUAAACUAUGUAUGCUAGCUGUUGGAGCCCUCAGGGUUCCGGCGGCGGAGAGAAAUCAUUAAGCAUACCGCCUGGGGAGUACGGUCGCAAGAUUA
This 371-nucleotide ribosomal RNA is filed under the name uncultured organism. RNAcentral describes it as "bacterial SSU rRNA". It matches the Rfam family "Bacterial small subunit ribosomal RNA", at positions 526 to 896 of the family's 1533-position model. The record is from RNAcentral.